This 1616-nucleotide ribosomal RNA is filed under the name Listeria innocua. RNAcentral describes it as "partial 23S ribosomal RNA". It matches the Rfam family "Bacterial large subunit ribosomal RNA", at positions 1 to 1606 of the family's 2925-position model. The record is from RNAcentral. Lineage: Bacteria; Bacillati; Bacillota; Bacilli; Caryophanales; Listeriaceae.
UUGGUUAAGUUAGAAAGGGCGCACGGUGGAUGCCUUGGCACUAGGAGCCGAAGAAGGACGGGACUAACACCGAUAUGCUUUGGGGAGCUGUACGUAAGCGUUGAUCCAGAGAUUUCCGAAUGGGGGAACCCACUAUCUUUAGUCGGAUAGUAUCCUUACGUGAAUACAUAGCGUGAGGAAGGCAGACCCAGGGAACUGAAACAUCUAAGUACCUGGAGGAAGAGAAAGAAAAAUCGAUUUCCUGAGUAGCGGCGAGCGAAACGGAAAGAGCCCAAACCAAGAAGCUUGCUUCUUGGGGUUGUAGGACACUCUAUACGGAGUUACAAAAGAAAGUUAUAAAUGAAGCGGUCUGGAAAGGCCCGCCAAAGACGGUAACAGCCCGGUAGUUGAAAUGGCUUUCCCUCCAGAGUGGAUCCUGAGUACGGCGGAACACGUGAAAUUCCGUCGGAAUCCGGGAGGACCAUCUCCCAAGGCUAAAUACUCCCUAGUGACCGAUAGUGAACCAGUACCGUGAGGGAAAGGUGAAAAGCACCCCGGAAGGGGAGUGAAACAGUUCCUGAAACCGUGUGCCUACAAGUAGUUAGAGCCCGUUAAUGGGUGAUAGCGUGCCUUUUGUAGAAUGAACCGGCGAGUUACGAUUUGUUGCAAGGUUAAGCGGAAAAAGCGGAGCCGUAGCGAAAGCGAGUCUGAAUAGGGCGCAUAAGUAACAGGUCGUAGACCCGAAACCAGGUGAUCUACCCAUGUCCAGGAUGAAGGUAAGGUAAUACUUACUGGAGGUCCGAACCCACGCACGUUGAAAAGUGCGGGGAUGAGGUGUGGGUAGCGGAGAAAUUCCAAUCGAACUUGGAGAUAGCUGGUUCUCUCCGAAAUAGCUUUAGGGCUAGCCUCGAGGUAAAGAGUCAUGGAGGUAGAGCACUGUUUGGACUAGGGGCCCUUCUCGGGUUACCGAAUUCAGAUAAACUCCGAAUGCCAUGUACUUAUACUCGGGAGUCAGACUGCGAGUGAUAAGAUCCGUAGUCGAAAGGGAAACAGCCCAGACCACCAGUUAAGGUCCCCAAAUAUAUGUUAAGUGGAAAAGGAUGUGGGGUUGCUUAGACAACCAGGAUGUUGGCUUAGAAGCAGCCACCAUUGAAAGAGUGCGUAAUAGCUCACUGGUCGAGUGACCCCGCGCCGAAAAUGUACCGGGGCUAAACAUAUUACCGAAACUGUGGAUGAACCUCUUCGGAGGUUCGUGGUAGGAGAGCGUUCUAAGGGCGGUGAAGUCAGACCGGAAGGACUGGUGGAGCGCUUAGAAGUGAGAAUGCCGGUAUGAGUAGCGAAAGAAGGGUGAGAAUCCCUUCCACCGAAUAUCUAAGGUUUCCUGAGGAAGGCUCGUCCGCUCAGGGUUAGUCGGGACCUAAGCCGAGGCCGAUAGGCGUAGGCGAUGGACAACAGGUAGAGAUUCCUGUACCAGUGCUAAUUGUUUAACCGAUGGGGUGACACAGAAGGAUAGGGAAUCGCACGAAUGGAAAUGUGCGUCCAAGCAGUGAGUGUGAGAAGUAGGCAAAUCCGCUUCUUGCGAAGCAUGAGCUGUGAUGGGGAAGGAAAUUAAGUACGGAAGUUCCUGAUUUCACGCU